GACGAACGCUGGCGGCGUGCUUAACACAUGCAAGUCGAACGGAAAGGCCCUGCUUUUGUGGGGUACUCGAGUGGCGAACGGGUGAGUAACACGUGAGUAACCUGCCCUUGACUUUGGGAUAACUUCGGGAAACUGGGGCUAAUACCGGAUAGGAGCUCCUGCUGCAUGGUGGGGGUUGGAAAGUUUCGGCGGUUGGGGAUGGACUCGCGGCUUAUCAGCUUGUUGGUGGGGUAGUGGCUUACCAAGGCUUUGACGGGUAGCCGGCCUGAGAGGGUGACCGGCCACAUUGGGACUGAGAUACGGCCCAGACUCCUACGGGAGGCAGCAGUGGGGAAUAUUGCACAAUGGGCGGAAUCCUGAUGCAGCAACGCCGCGUGCGGGAUGACGGCCUUCGGGUUGUAAACCGCUUUCGCCUGUGACGAAGCGUGAGUGACGGUAAUGGGUAAAGAAGCACCGGCUAACUACGUG
Molecule: ribosomal RNA, 468 nt
Filed under: uncultured bacterium
Lineage: Bacteria
Description: partial 16S ribosomal RNA
Rfam family: Bacterial small subunit ribosomal RNA
Source: RNAcentral